Molecule: long non-coding RNA, 1901 nt
Filed under: Limulus polyphemus (Atlantic horseshoe crab)
Lineage: Eukaryota; Metazoa; Arthropoda; Merostomata; Xiphosura; Limulidae
Description: uncharacterized LOC111088126
Source: RNAcentral
GAAAGAACAGUACUGAAAUAUAUUUUAGUUUCUUGUCAGUAGUUUUAAGGGAAGUCGAUGGUUGGAUUUACCUCAUAUAAGAACAUCGCUUAUUGAUACAGUACCUGACUUUGGAGAAACUACGGUUGAUUAUUAACCGCACAACGCCGAACGUAAGAUUCCAGAUGUGUGCGAGGUUAAGAAUUCUGGUUCGUAUGGACCUGAUGCCGAACAGUCGGACGGGCGUACUUCAACGUAAAUUGUGCACAAUAUUUUAUGGGUGAUAACCACAUCUGAAGUCCACCCUGUCCGACUUUAAUGGAUGAAGAUAUCGAUGACACUUUGUUUCCAUGGAUACGCAGACUGCAAGUUUUUAUAUCGUUAUAAAUAUAUAUUAGUAUAUAUAUAUAUAUAUAUAUAUAUCAUACAAAUUAAGAGUAUAUAUAUGUAUUAUUGUCAAUUAACCCGCAUUUUUUCUUAUCUUGUAGCCUCAAUCUCACACUGGCAAGGCUUUUCAACCCCUUUCAAGGAGUUAUUUUUCUACAUUGUUAAUAUAUCGGGGUGAAAGCGUUGCCAGGAGUGGGCUUAAUCCAUCCGAAUGGAGAGAACCACAGAAAAUCAAAAAUUAGAGUGAGCUGUGUUUAGGUUCUGGUUUCUUUUUGUUGUCACCUCUGAUGUAGUUUAUUGUAGAGUGUUGCUUACUCUGUAUUGUGAUGUGACCUAGUUUGGGCGGUCUGCGCAUUCUGGUGUUAAGUAUGCACUAUUUUUAUAAACUCUCAGCGUCACGACGCAACAUGGAGUAAUGUACAGUAGAGAGGAGAAAAUUUAUACUUGGCGCAACCGUGAAAGUUUUGCUAGCAAGUCACGUGAUUGUAAACUAGUAGUAGUUUCAAGACUACUACAAUACUUUGAGUAGUUUCUGUGAUUUGAAGACGAGUGAUUACUGCCCUAAGCCUACCUCAACUUGACUGUUCUGCUAAUCAAGCUAAUUUCUGUAACUGGACGUUUCGUGUUGUAGGUGGUUCACCACUCCCAUAAAAAAAAUUCGUAAAGUUGCUAAAAAAAUCGAUGAAUAAUGAACCGCCUAAACCGAAAUCCAGUUGUUUUAGAGCCUUAAAAACUAGUGUUAACUUCCCAGGCCUUUUAAAUGUAAAUAGAAAUAAACCUCCCAGUUGGGGCAACUGAAGUGCCAAGGCCUGGAGAACGUUCUACACCUUUGUGUUUUCUGACUAGAGAACUUGAACCUUCUGUUUCUUUUCGGGCCGGUCUGUGGAUCGAAGGAUCCAAGGUUCGAAACGAUAUGCCGUUGAACACGCUCCACGCUUUCCGCCGUAAGUCCGUUAUUAAACUGACAGUAAAUCCCGUCAUUCGGUCCAAAGAGCCGGAAAAAGCCCUUGUGGCGGCGGGUACUGCUGACUGAUUCCUAUCCUACUGGUCAGUAGUUCAAAAUUAAGGACAGCUAUACCUGUAUCCUAAUUAAGGGUCUUUGACUUGGCCGUUCAGGUUGAAAAUUUUAAUCCUAUUCUAUUUACUUUCCAUCGGUGAAUUUGCAAAUCAAUUAUCAUUCAAAGUUUAACAUUUUAUGUUUAAUAUAAAUAAUUGGGUUAACUGUUUGGAAUUUGAAAGUACUGGAAAAUAAAUAAAAUAAAACUGAUUGAUGUUUUUCAAGAUUGAAUUUGGUCUUUUUUUGUUUUUUCUUUUUUAGAAUAGUAGGUUGUAGUUUCGGUUUUGAAUAAAUCCCGUGUGCUGUAUGUAUACAUGUAUUUGUUCAUCAUGGACCCGGCCCGGGAACGUAAAACAACAAAGUUUUCAGAAGUUUUAAGCAAACCCGAGCAUUUUGGCUCUCUACCAGUAGAUCUUACUGUACUUUCUUCAUGCUAUGAUAACCUGUGUUUGUAUGAAAUAAACUGUGUGAAAUGUCA